CACUCGAUGGUUUUUAGAUAUUUUGGCAUUUGGUGUGCUGGUGCUAUAGUCUUUUCAAAUCAAGGCGAUCCGAAAAGAUUUUUUCAAAAUUUUCACUGAAGCAUGGCUCUAGGUACAGUGAAAUAAUGAUUUUGCCAGCUGUCAGCCAUUUUUAGUAGCCUGCCAUGGUGAGUGGGACACGCGGGGAGUGUAGGUCGGCC
Molecule: long non-coding RNA, 200 nt
Filed under: Elaeis guineensis (African oil palm)
Lineage: Eukaryota; Viridiplantae; Streptophyta; Magnoliopsida; Arecales; Arecaceae
Description: long non-coding RNA (EGUI_LNC064080)
Source: RNAcentral